GAUGAACGCUGGCGGCGUGCCUAAUACAUGCAAGUCGAGCGGACAGACGAGGAGCUUGCUCCUCUGACGUUAGCGGCGGACGGGUGUGUAACAUGUGGAUAACCUACCUAUAAGACUGGGAUAAUUUCGGGAAACCGGCGCUAAUACCAGAGAAUAUAUUGAACCGCAGGGUUGAAUGGUGAAAGACGGUUUUGCUGUCACUUAUAGAGGGAUCCGCGCCGCAGUGGCUGGUUGGUAAGGUAACGGCUUACGAAGGCAACUAUGCGUAGCCGACCUGAGAGAGUGGUCGGCCACACUGGAGGUGAGACGCGGUCCAGACUCCUACGGGAGGCAGCAGUAGCGAAUCUUCCGCAAUGGGCGAGAGCCUGACGGAGCAACGCCGCGUGAGUGAUGAAGGUCUUCGGAUCGUAAAACUGUGUUACUAGGGAAGAACCAAUGUGUAAGUAAAUGUGCACGUCUUGACGGUACCUAAUCAGAAAGCAACGGCUAACUACGUG
Molecule: ribosomal RNA, 497 nt
Filed under: uncultured bacterium
Lineage: Bacteria
Description: partial 16S ribosomal RNA
Rfam family: Bacterial small subunit ribosomal RNA
Source: RNAcentral